RNAcentral lists this ribosomal RNA (691 nucleotides) under uncultured bacterium. RNAcentral describes it as "bacterial SSU rRNA". It matches the Rfam family "Bacterial small subunit ribosomal RNA", at positions 8 to 694 of the family's 1533-position model. The record is from RNAcentral.
AGAGUUUGAUCCUGGCUCAGAUUGAACGCUGGCGGCAGGCCUAACACAUGCAAGUCGAGCGGAUGAGAAGAGCUUGCUCUUCGAUUCAGCGGCGGACGGGUGAGUAAUACCUAGGAAUCUGCCUGGUAGUGGGGGACAACGUUUCGAAAGGAACGCUAAUACCGCAUACGUCCUACGGGAGAAAGCAGGGGACCUUCGGGCCUUGCGCUAUCAGAUGAGCCUAGGUCGGAUUAGCUAGUUGGUGAGGUAAUGGCUCACCAAGGCGACGAUCCGUAACUGGUCUGAGAGGAUGAUCAGUCACACUGGAACUGAGACACGGUCCAGACUCCUACGGGAGGCAGCAGUGGGGAAUAUUGGACAAUGGGCGAAAGCCUGAUCCAGCCAUGCCGCGUGUGUGAAGAAGGUCUUCGGAUUGUAAAGCACUUUAAGUUGGGAGGAAGGGCAGUAAGCGAAUACCUUGCUGUUUUGACGUUACCGACAGAAUAAGCACCGGCUAACUCUGUGCCAGCAGCCGCGGUAAUACAGAGGGUGCAAGCGUUAAUCGGAAUUACUGGGCGUAAAGCGCGCGUAGGUGGUUCGUUAAGUUGGAUGUGAAAUCCCCGGGCUCAACCUGGGAACUGCAUCCAAAACUGGCGAGCUAGAGUAGGGCAGAGGGUGGUGGAAUUUCCUGUGUAGCGGUGAAAUGCGUAGA